Molecule: ribosomal RNA, 500 nt
Filed under: uncultured bacterium
Lineage: Bacteria
Description: bacterial SSU rRNA
Rfam family: Bacterial small subunit ribosomal RNA
Source: RNAcentral
AACGAACGCUGGCGGCGCGCCUAAUACAUGCAAGUCGAGCGAGAAGACGUAGCAAUACGUUUGUAAAGCGGCGAACGGGUGAGGAAUACAUGGGUAACCUACCCUCGAGUGGGGAAUAACUAGCCGAAAGGUUAGCUAAUACCGCGUACGCUCCUUGGACUUCGGUUCAGGGAGGAAAGCGAUACCGUGGGUAUCGCGCUCUUGGAUGGGCUCAUGUCCUAUCAGCUUGUUGGGAGGUAACGGCUCACCAAGGCUUCGACGGGUAGCUGGUCUGAGAGGACGAUCAGCCACACUGGCACUGCGACACGGGCCAGACUCCUACGGGAGGCAGCAGUAAGGAAUAUUGCGCAAUGGGCGAAAGCCUGACGCAGCGACGCCGCGUGGGGGAUGAAGGUCUUCGGAUUGUAAACCCCUUUCGGGAGGGAAGAUGGAACGAGCAAUCGUUCGGACGGUACCUCCAGAAGCAGCCACGGCUAACUUCGUGCCAGCAGCCGCAGUAA